CCAGACUCCUACGGGAGGCAGCAGUGAGGAAUAUUGGUCAAUGGGCGGAAGCCUGAACCAGCCAAGUCGCGUGAGGGAAUAAGGCCCUACGGGUCGUAAACCUCUUUUGCCGGGGAGCAAGGGCGGGGACGUGUCCCGGCCCGGAGAGUACCCGGAGAAAAAGCAUCGGCUAACUCCGUGCCAGCAGCCGCGGUAAUACGGAGGAUGCGAGCGUUAUCCGGAUUUAUUGGGUUUAAAGGGUGCGCAGGCGGAGGUGCAAGUCAGCGGUCAAAUUGCGGGGCUCAACCCCGUACUGCCGUUGAAACUGCAUCCCUUGAGUGCGCGAGAAGUAUGCGGAAUGCGUGGUGUAGCGGUGAAAUGCUUAGAUAUCACGAAGAACUCCGAUUGCGAAGGCAGCAUACGGCAGCGCUACUGACGCUGAAGCUCGAAGGCGCGGGUAUCGAACAGGAUUAGAUACCCCGGUAU
This 465-nucleotide ribosomal RNA is filed under the name uncultured bacterium. RNAcentral describes it as "bacterial SSU rRNA". It matches the Rfam family "Bacterial small subunit ribosomal RNA", at positions 331 to 793 of the family's 1533-position model. The record is from RNAcentral.